RNAcentral lists this ribosomal RNA (468 nucleotides) under uncultured bacterium. RNAcentral's name for it is "partial 16S ribosomal RNA". It matches the Rfam family "Bacterial small subunit ribosomal RNA", at positions 28 to 507 of the family's 1533-position model. The record is from RNAcentral.
GACGAACGCUGGCGGCGUGCUUAACACAUGCAAGUCGAACGGAAAGGCCCUGCUUUUGUGGGGUGCUCGAGUGGCGAACGGGUGAGUAACACGUGAGUAACCUGCCCUUGACUUUGGGGUAACUUCAGGAAACUGGGGCUCAUAACCGGGAGGAGCUCCUGCUGCAUGGGGGGGGGUGGAAAGUUUCGGCGGUUGGGGAUGGACUCGCGGCUUAUCAGCUUGUUGGGGGGGUAGUGGCUUACCAAGGCUUUGACGGGUAGCCGGCCUGAGAGGGUGACCGGCCACAUUGGGACUGAGAUACGGCCCAGACUCCUACGGGAGGCAGCAGUGGGGAAUAUUGCACAAUGGGCGGAAGCCUGAUGCAGCAACGCCGCGUGCGGGAUGACGGCCUUCGGGUUGUAAACCGCUUUCGCCUGUGACGAAGCGUGAGUGACGGUAAUGGGUAAAGAAGCACCGGCUAACUACGUG